Molecule: ribosomal RNA, 137 nt
Filed under: uncultured eukaryote
Lineage: Eukaryota
Description: partial 18S ribosomal RNA
Rfam family: Eukaryotic small subunit ribosomal RNA
Source: RNAcentral
UCGUGGAGUGAUUUGUCUGCUUAAUUGCGAUAACGAACGAGACCUUAACCUACUAAAUAGCCAGGCUAGCUUUGGCUGGUCGCCGGCUUCUUAGAGGGACUUUCGGCUCAAGCCGAAGGAAGUUCGAGGCAAUAACA